GGAUGUGAGGGCGAUCUGGCUGCGACAUCUGUCACCCCAUUGAUCGCCAGGGUUGAUUCCGCUGAUCUGGCUGGCUAGGCGGGUGUCCCCCUCCUCCCUCACCGAUCCAUGUGCGUCCCUCCCGAAGCUGCGCGCUCGGUCGAAGAGGACGACCUUCCCCCCCCCGCCACCCCCGCCCCCCAGGAGAGGACCCGUCUUCGGUCAAGGGUAUACGAGUAGCUGCGCUCCCCUGCUAGAACCUCCAAACAAACUCACAAAUGUCACAGAGAUUUUGCUCAUUUUAAACAACAAGCCCAAGUAGUUAGCUUUUGUUCAUGGAGCGGGCUGAUU
This is a non-coding RNA of Myotis lucifugus (little brown bat), 330 nucleotides long. NCBI's taxonomy places the organism in Eukaryota, Metazoa, Chordata, Mammalia, Chiroptera, Vespertilionidae. The record is from Rfam.